Molecule: ribosomal RNA, 210 nt
Filed under: uncultured bacterium
Lineage: Bacteria
Description: partial 16S ribosomal RNA
Rfam family: Bacterial small subunit ribosomal RNA
Source: RNAcentral
UACGUAGGGUGCGAGCGUUAAUCGGAAUUACUGGGCGUAAAGCGUGCGCAGGCGGUUUUGCAAGCCGGAUGUGAAAUCCCCGGGCUUAACCUGGGAAUGGCAUUUGGGACUGCAAGGCUGGAGUGCGGCAGAGGAGACUGGAAUUCCUGGUGUAGCAGUGAAAUGCGUAGAUAUCAGGAGGAACACCGAUGGCGAAGGCAGGUCUCUGGG